UACGUAGGGGGCUAGCGUUGUCCGGAAUCAUUGGGCGUAAAGAGCUCGUAGGCGGCUUGUUGCGUCGACCGUGAAAACCCGGGGCUCAACUUCGGGCUUGCGGUCGAUACGGGCGGGCUAGAGUUCGGUAGGGGAGACUGGAAUUCCUGGUGUAGCGGUGAAAUGCGCAGAUAUCAGGAGGAACACCGGUGGCGAAGGCGGGUCUCUGGGCCGAUACUGACGCUGAGGAGCGAAAGCGUGGGGAGCGAACAGG
This 253-nucleotide ribosomal RNA is filed under the name uncultured bacterium. RNAcentral's name for it is "partial 16S ribosomal RNA". It matches the Rfam family "Bacterial small subunit ribosomal RNA", at positions 524 to 776 of the family's 1533-position model. The record is from RNAcentral.